GACGAACGCUGGCGGCGCGCCUAACACAUGCAAGUCGAACGGAGUCAAGAGGAGCUUGCUUUUCUUGACUUAGUGGCGAACGGGUGAGUAACGCGUGAGUAACCUGCCCUGGAGUGGGGGACAACAGUUGGAAACGACUGCUAAUACCGCAUAAGCCCACGGAUCUGCAUGGAUCUGCGGGAAAAGGAUUUAUUCGCUCUAGGAUGGACUCGCGUCCAAUUAGCUAGCUGGUGAGGUAACGGCCCACCAAGGCGACGAUUGGUAGCCGGACUGAGAGGUUGAACGGCCACAUUGGGACUGAGACACGGCCCAGACUCCUACGGGAGGCAGCAGUGGGGGAUAGUGCACAAUGGGGGAAACCCUGAUGCAGCGACGCCGCGUGGAGGAAGAAGGUUUUCGGAUUGUAAACUCCUGUCGUUAGGGACGAUAAUGACGGUACCUAACAAGAAAGCACCAGCUAACUACGUG
This 468-nucleotide ribosomal RNA is filed under the name uncultured bacterium. RNAcentral's name for it is "partial 16S ribosomal RNA". It matches the Rfam family "Bacterial small subunit ribosomal RNA", at positions 28 to 507 of the family's 1533-position model. The record is from RNAcentral.